RNAcentral lists this ribosomal RNA (274 nucleotides) under uncultured bacterium. Its description in RNAcentral is "partial 16S ribosomal RNA". It matches the Rfam family "Bacterial small subunit ribosomal RNA", at positions 523 to 796 of the family's 1533-position model. The record is from RNAcentral.
AGACAGAGGUGGCAAGCGUUGUUCGGAUUUACUGGGCGUAAAGAGUUCGUAGGCGGUUGUGUGUGUCAGAUGUGAAAUCCCAGGGCUUAACCCUGGAAUUGCAUUUGAAACUGCAGGACUUGAGGACAGGAGGGGGAAGUGGAAUUCCCGGUGUAGCGGUGAAAUGCGUAGAUAUCUGGAAGAACACCGGUGGCGAAGGCGGCUUCCUGGACUGUCCCUGACGCUGAGGAACGAAAGCGUGGGUAGCAAACAGGAUUAGAUACCCUAGUAGUCC